RNAcentral lists this ribosomal RNA (253 nucleotides) under uncultured bacterium. RNAcentral describes it as "partial 16S ribosomal RNA". It matches the Rfam family "Bacterial small subunit ribosomal RNA", at positions 524 to 776 of the family's 1533-position model. The record is from RNAcentral.
UACGUAGGGUGCAAGCGUUAAUCGGAAUUACUGGGCGUAAAGCGCGCGCAGGCGGUCUUCCAAGUCAGUGGUGAAAGCCUGGAGCUCAACUCCAGAACUGCCAUUGAAACUGUUAGACUUGAGUACGAGAGAGGUGAGUGGGAUUCCCAGUGUAGAGGUGAAAUUCGUAGAUAUUGGGAAGAACACCAGUGGCGAAGGCGGCUCACUGGCUCGUAACUGACGCUCAGGCGCGACAGCGUGGGGAGCAAACAGG